UGAAGUGAUCAAGAGAGUGGGGCGAGAGAACCGCGACAGGUUCGUGAGCGGUGAGCUCGUAGUGUUGUCGCCAAGGAGAGCGCCGGGGAGGACCAUCGCGAAGCACGGGGAGACCGGGAGUAGAACUCGUGGCCUCCGUGCGGGUCCUUGAUGGAAGAUUGGUCCCGGGGCCUCUUGGGGCCUCUCGAGGCAGCACAAGACAAAGGGUUGUAGAUGAAAGUUUUACUGUCCAAGGAAUAGGAGUGUUGUCGUGAAUGUGGACUAGGGCAUCGAUGGGGCCACCUACGAGCCAAGGGUGACCUGCCUCUCGAGGCAGCACAAGACAAAGGGUUGUAGAUGAAAGUUUUACUGUCCAAGGAAUAGGAGUGUUGUCGUGAAUGUGGACUAGGGCAUCGAUGGGGCCACCUACGAGCCAAGGGUGACCUGCCUUCACGUGCCAGGACCAGGAGUAAAAUCAAAUACCUGAAUCAGGAGUCAGGACCAGGAGGCAGGAAGAGUCAGGAACCAGUGGCCAGUAAAACAGGAACCUAGCACAGCCUGGCUCUGGAUGCUGAAGCUGUCCUGACAUCCUCAGUGUGCACACAUUUCAGACCAUGUUUACUGCAUUCCAACAAAGUGUACAGUGGAUGAAGAGGGCUUCCACAGCAGAAGCACACAGCUCAUUUACUAUGGACAGAAGAGCUGUUCUUAAGUGCAGGUGGGAUGGCUUGAGCAACUGCAGGCAACAGGUGCUAGGUUGCCGCCUCUUGGUUCUCGCUCUGGGCCCUUGGUUUGGGUCAGCACCCACCUACGUACCGUUCACAACCCGUCACAUCGCUCCCCCUCACUUGCAAGAACUUCACUGAGCCUGUGAGGCACGCUUGCAACGAGUCCCGCAGCGUAACCGUUUGUGCCCCGCAAUUCUUCCCACUCUUGAAGAAUGACCUCCCAAAGCGUGUCGGGACUACGGAGCGUCGACUCUUUGUUCUUUAAGCGGCUUCGUAUGAUUCCCCAGACCUCCUCGAUGGGGUGGAUGUCACGGCUGUUGGCGGGCCAGGAGAUGCAGCUGACACCCCGCAUUUCCAGGUGGUCUUCGACAAUGGGUGACAGACAAGGAGGGUAGCAACCGUGCUGGAGGGUGAAAGAACCGUCAGGGUACGGUCCGCCGCGGAGAUACGGGAGAGCCACCUGGUCGAUGAUUUCAGAGUACUUCUUUUCGGUGAAGCGGCCCUCGACUCGGGUGAGGGGUCCGAGCCCGUGGCACGUCAGGAUGCCCCAGACGGUCACCACGUGCGGCAGGAUGGAUAAGAUCUCGUCUGGACUGCACCUUGAGAAAAGAAUGACGCACACAUUGGUGUCCGUAAAGAUAUCAAAAUAAAUCAAUUUUGAACAGGUUU
Long non-coding RNA from Ornithodoros turicata, 1376 nucleotides. RefSeq lists it as uncharacterized. The transcript is spliced from 3 exons. NCBI's taxonomy places the organism in Eukaryota, Metazoa, Arthropoda, Arachnida, Ixodida, Argasidae. The record is from RefSeq and is a predicted model, not a curated record.